GUUAAGAAAGCUGAAAUUCACGAUCAACCUCUGAACCGUUAAGGCCUAUCACCAAUUGAGAACGAUUUUGCUCGUUUACUGCUGGCAACUGUAAGAAUGAAAACCUUACUUCAAGCAUUUUUAAUCGCCCUUCUUCUCCUUGCAAGUAUGGUCAGUUUUAGCGAGAGUACGUUUGGCGCUGGUCGGUACGAAUUCGGAGGAAAUGAGGGUAAAAGAUCGAAGUCCCGUAAGGUUUUGCAAGGGUCCAGUAAGUUUCCCCAAGGAGAAAGAAGCUUUCGACUGGCUGCGGAGGGUGACAUGAUGCAUGUUCGACGAGACGAGAUCUGUGAAAUUGCGAAGAGUACCUGUUGAGCGUCACGAGACGUGUGAAGUCGCCGGCAGAAGAGCCAUGAACUAACCGCGUACAAAAAUGAUUGAAUUGUUAUAACAUUGUUGUAGCCAGGGUGCACGGUUCAAGUCUGAAUCAAUAAAGGAUGAAA
This is a long non-coding RNA of Stylophora pistillata, 479 nucleotides long. RefSeq lists it as uncharacterized. The record is from RefSeq and is a predicted model, not a curated record. NCBI's taxonomy places the organism in Eukaryota, Metazoa, Cnidaria, Anthozoa, Scleractinia, Pocilloporidae.